Molecule: long non-coding RNA, 630 nt
Filed under: Homo sapiens (human)
Lineage: Eukaryota; Metazoa; Chordata; Mammalia; Primates; Hominidae
Description: HSALNT0386450
Source: RNAcentral
CUACUUUAAAUAAAUAACCUUCUUUACUGCUUAAUGAAGAAUAAUGAACUAUGCACGUCAUUAUGGGAUGAAGAACAGGGAGUAAAGACAGAAUUUCUCACUGUAGCAAGAUGGCAGACUAAGAAAUAUUUAACACUAUCACUGUUCCCUGAAGCCUCCUCAGAAGCCGAGCAAAUGCCAGUGCCACGCUUGUACAGCCUGCAGAACUGUCAGCUAAUUCAACCUCUUUCUUUUUUAACUACCCAGUCUCAGGUAUUCGUUUAUAGCCACGCAAAAAUGGCCUAAAACAUCCUUUUCCCUCCUACUGAAUCUGGAUAAACCUAUGACUGUUUUGACCAACAGAAUACAGAGCAGUGUGUAUUUCUCUCAUUCAGCCAUGUAUUCACUUAAUGACUACAUAAUGAAUGCCUUCUGUGCCAAGGAAUAUAACUACUCAUUUAUUAACACCAAGUCCUGAAGAUAUGGCAUUCUUUUACUCAAUUUUCAUGAUCAUCACAUACCUUAGUGAAAAAUUAAAAUCAUGAUGUUUCAGUUAAGGAAUCUAAGAUGCUGUGCUUAACAAAAUUGCUGAAGUUACCACAAAUCUUUAUAACAGUCAUACUGUCAAGGACCUCCAGCUAAAACCACCAA